RNAcentral lists this ribosomal RNA (252 nucleotides) under uncultured bacterium. Its description in RNAcentral is "partial 16S ribosomal RNA". It matches the Rfam family "Bacterial small subunit ribosomal RNA", at positions 524 to 776 of the family's 1533-position model. The record is from RNAcentral.
UACGUAGGGUGCGAGCGUUGUCCGGAAUUAUUGGGCGUAAAGCGCGCGCAGGUGGUUUCUUAAGUCUGAUGUGAAAGCCCACGGCUCAACCGUGGAGGGUCAUUGGAAACUGGGAGACUUGAGUGCAGAAGAGGAAAGUGGAAUUCCAUGUGUAGCGGUGAAAUGCGUAGAGAUAUGGAGGAACACAGUGGCGAAGGCGACUUUCUGGUCUGCAACUGACACUGAGGCGCGAAAGCGUGGGGAGCAAACAGG